Homo sapiens (human) is the source of this 1595-nucleotide long non-coding RNA. Lineage: Eukaryota; Metazoa; Chordata; Mammalia; Primates; Hominidae. The record is from Ensembl.
GCAGGCGUGAGCCACCGUGCCCGGCCGAGUUGAAGUACUUUUUCUGGAACAAAGAAACUUAGCAUAAAUAGUUAAAAUAGUAAGAAUUGUAAUUAAGGGAAAUUUCAGCUCAAUAUGACUUCAACAGUUUUAAAAAUGUAUUAUUUCACAUAAGACCAUGGAGAGAGGAAUUGGAAGCCCCAGAAUUGAUUGGGUCAGAAAUUGAAAAUGAUAUUAUCAGUGACCCAGGUUUGAAUGUCUCUCCCCACAGCAUUGACUUCACUAAUGGAUGUGACCUGGUUGGCAGCAGCAGCUUGCACAACAUGCUUGUUUGCAGUGAGUAGUAGAGAGAAGGUUUUGCUUUCCCAGAAACUCUGAAAAAGGUCAUCAAACCUAAAUUUCCUUAGCCUUUUUCUUCCAUGAGCAAAUCACUAGCAGAUGACUGCUAGCAAGGUGUUACUAUUACAAUGAACCCCUAAGUGUCAGAGAAAGAGUUAGUUUGGGGAAAUAUCCUCUCCACCACAAUCUUAGUCAUUGAAGUCAAUUUAACAAUAUAUUGAAAUAUUUUUCUUAGAAGUUUAAAGUUCCAUUAAAGAGUAGCAAUUACAGAAAUUAUAGGUAGCCUUUAGUUCUACAAGUGACAUUUCAAAAGGGAGAUGAUUCAUCAAUUUCAAACUUUGCCUGCAAAUAAUACUGGAUGAAAAUUAACUUGGCAAACAUAAUUAAUAAUCAUGGGUUAUUAAUUACUUCUGCAAGGUGGGUGUGCUGAUUUUAAAAGGCUUGAAUAAAACAUAAAUUUCCUUAAUUUAUACUGUAAAUGGAGUAAUUUGGUGAUGUAAAUGGUAAUAUGUAAGUGACUUCUGCUUCAGAUCUUACAACUUAAAAUAUUUUUCUAAAAUUAGUUUUUGUACCAUCUCUCCAGCAUGUUCCAGCCUUUAUCAGUCAGUCCAGGCUUCUAUAACAAAAUAUCAUGGACUGAAUUGCUUACACAACAGACAUUUCUCACAAUUGUAGAAGCUGGAAAGUGCAAGAUUAAGGUGCUAGCAAAUUUGUUUCCUGGUGAGGGUCCUCUUCCCGGCUUGCUGUAUCCUCACAUAGCAGAUAGAGAGAGAAAGAGAGAGAGAGAGAGCACUCUAUAGACUCUCUUCCUGUUCUUCUAAGGACACUAAUUCCAUUGAUGAGGGCCCUACGCUCAUGACUUAGUCUAAACCUAAUUAAUUCUCAAAGGCCUCACUUCCCAACACUGUCACAUUGUGGGGUAGGGCUUUAACAUAUGAAAUUUGAGGGAAAAGGAAUGUUCAGUCUAGAACAAAGCCCCAUACAUUUCAAAAAGCUGUGGGACAGGAGGGAAUGGGGAUGGUAUUCAAUGGUACCACAUCCAAGCAAGUCUUGUAUGGUUAAAACAAAUCAAUAUAAUAACAUGAAAUUUUACACAGAAACCUAUCUGAUUAUAAACUGUAUGCUUACCAUAAUCAACACUGAUGUACAUUGUUUUAAAAAUACUUAAUAGUGUUCUUUGUUUAACCAAAUAAUAGAGGUAUUAACUAGUUUCCUAGUGCUGCCAAAAGAAAUUGCUACAAAAUUUGUGGCUUAAAAUAGUAAAAAAAAAAAAAAAA